RNAcentral lists this ribosomal RNA (760 nucleotides) under Nematoda environmental sample. RNAcentral's name for it is "SSU rRNA". It matches the Rfam family "Eukaryotic small subunit ribosomal RNA", at positions 134 to 896 of the family's 1831-position model. Lineage: Eukaryota; Metazoa; Nematoda. The record is from RNAcentral.
CCUACUUGGAUAACUGUGGUAAUUCUAGAGCUAAUACAUGCAACAAGCUCUGACCUUACGGGAGGAGCGCAUUUAUUAGAACAAAACCAAUCGGACUUCGGUCCGUCACUUGGUGAGUCUGAAUAACUUUGCCGAUCGCAUGGUCCUCGAACCGGCGACGCAUCUUUCAAAUGUCUGCCUUAUCAACUUUCGAUGGUAGUUUAUGCGCCUACCAUGGUUGUAACGGGUAACGGGGAAUAAGGGUUCGACUCCGGAGAGGGAGCCUGAGAAACGGCUACCACAUCCAAGGAAGGCAGCAGGCACGCAAAUUACCCACUCCCGGCACGGGGAGGUAGUGACGAAAAAUAACGAGACGGUUCUCUACGAGGCCCGUCAUCGGAAUGGGUACAAUUUAAAUCCUUUAACGAGGAUCUAUUGGAGGGCAAGUCUGGUGCCAGCAGCCGCGGUAAUUCCAGCUCCAAUAGCGUAUAUUAAAGUUGUUGCGGUUAAAAAGCUCGUAGUUGGAUCUGCGGCCUAGGAAGGUGGUCCCCCAAUGGGUGGUUACUGCUUUUCCUGGCCUACUUCUCCGGUUUUCCCUUGGUGCUCUUCAUUGAGUGUCUUGGGUGGCUGGAACGUUUACUUUGAAAAAAUUAGAGUGCUCAAAGCAGGCGGUUAAGCCUGAAUAGUGGUGCAUGGAAUAAUGGAAUAGGACCUCGGUUCUAUUUUGUUGGUUUUCGGAGCUCGAGGUAAUGAUUAAGAGGGACAGACGGGGGCGUUUGAA